UCUAAAGCUGAAUCAGCAUUCCACUGUUAAUGGAAAGUAGGGAGUAAAUUCCUAGAG
This 57-nucleotide transfer RNA is filed under the name Strongylocotes lipogonus. RNAcentral describes it as "tRNA-Asn". Lineage: Eukaryota; Metazoa; Arthropoda; Insecta; Psocodea; Heptapsogasteridae. The record is from RNAcentral.